UGGUUUUCUCGCAAGAGACCAAGUGACAGGUGCUGCAUGGCUGUCGUCAGCUCGUGUCGUGAGAUGUUCGGUUAAGUCCGGCAACGAGCGCAACCCACAUCCUUAGUUGCCAGCAGUUCGGCUGGGCACUCUAGGGAAACUGCCCGUGAUAAGCGGGAGGAAGGUGUGGAUGACGUCAAGUCCUCAUGGCCCUUACGGGUUGGGCUACACACGUGCUACAAUGGCAUCAACAAUGGGUUAAUCCCAAAAAGAUGUCUCAGUUCGGAUUGGGGUCUGCAACUCGACCCCAUGAAGUCGGAAUCGCUAGUAAUCGCGUAACAGCA
This 323-nucleotide ribosomal RNA is filed under the name Pseudophaeobacter arcticus. RNAcentral's name for it is "bacterial SSU rRNA". It matches the Rfam family "Bacterial small subunit ribosomal RNA", at positions 1009 to 1354 of the family's 1533-position model. The record is from RNAcentral. Lineage: Bacteria; Pseudomonadati; Pseudomonadota; Alphaproteobacteria; Rhodobacterales; Roseobacteraceae.